Molecule: long non-coding RNA, 2683 nt
Filed under: Zea mays
Lineage: Eukaryota; Viridiplantae; Streptophyta; Magnoliopsida; Poales; Poaceae
Description: long non-coding RNA (ZMAY_LNC005499)
Source: RNAcentral
AUCAGGUUAUUCAAUUUAGUUAAGACUUGUCGUUUGUAUCAACCUAAUUUCAAAUCUUUACUAAACUUGAUUUUGUAGGGAUCCGGGGUCAUGGGCCACAACACGCCACCACCGGUCAUACGUGGAGGUUAUCUUUGUGUCAUAAGUUGUCGACGUUUAGGGUUUAGAGCCGUCGUGAUCGUAUCCUCCGGCCUGAACAACGUUGUUUUAUGUUCAGAGCGGAGGACCCGACUUUUACGUUUACCUCGCUCACGUUUUCUGUCGACGACGUUCUUUAGUAGUGCCCCCGCGCAUCGGUGUGGAUGGACGCGCAGUGGGAUAUAUAUGUGUUUCCAGGUAGUUGGAGAUUCGAAACGAACCAGUGAUGUAGAUUUGUUUCAUCUAAAUAUAUGCUAUAGUUCAAAACUGCUGAAGCCUUUUUGAGCAGUGUCGUCGUUGAUGUGGCGCUGCGCUUGUGACGUUCUUUCGUGUCGCUAGCCAAAACAGAAGUAUAUCGUGACAAUCGGUUGCGGGGCAGCUGGCGACAUCCACUUUCUCGGCUCUCGUCCAUCCACCAAUUCUUAAGCUAGAAACGACACUGAAAUGAUCCUAUUGCAAAAUAACUUUGUCUAAGAGAUUAUCUCAAUCGUGUCCUGUCUUAUUAUUGCAACCAAAUACUCUCUCUGUCCCAAAACAUUAGUCAUCUUACCUCUUGAAUUUUUUAUAUAUGUUUAAAUAAAUAACGAUGAAUCUAGACACAUAUAUGAAACAAAUACAUUAAUUAUUGUAUAAAUAAACUAAAAAGAUAAAACAAAUUUUAUUUUGGUACGGCGGGAGUACAGCGUUAGGGUUCGAUUUGUUGAGAACUACGUCACCACGGAUCACCAGAUCCGCUCCCUUCCCUCCCGUCAGCAGUAGAGGCGCAAGAAGCUGUAGAGUACCCGUCUUCCUUCCCAUUAGCACGACAGAGGAAACACAAUAGACACGAUGUAGGGUUGGGCCUCUGGUCUCUUUCUCUUCUCUCUUCCAUAUGAGGGGUACAUGUUCUAUAUAUAGAGACGCGAUAGCCCUUAGGGCUAUAUUCGGUAUUUGCCCACAUAACCCAUUAGCGCCGAGGUCAUUCUAUCAACAACUUUCGACAAUAUUUAGAUGUCUACUUGACUGUAGACCAGUACAUGGAGGUAAAAAUCUAAUUUAACAGCUCAUUCAAAUGUGAAUGUAAUUUUGAGCUAACGCUUUAUAUGCAGGUAACUCUUCCAUGGAUGGAACACCGGCCGCAGGCUUACAAGGCUUUGUGUGAGAUAUGGGCUUCGCCCGAGUGGAUUGAGAAGUCAAACAGAAAUCGACAUAGGCAGCGCCAUCAACAGGACGAGGACGAUGAUGAGGUCGUAGUCAACCAUACCUAUGGGGCUGAUGGACACAUUCAAUUGGCUAAGCGAAUGGUGAGUAUGUAGUAUUCUGUUUUACUCAGAAAUGAAACAGGAUUGAGCUCAUAUAUUUGCAGGAGGCUCAAACUGGAGUUGUCCCAAGCCCAAUCGAUGUUUAUAGGAGAGGGCAUCGAGCGAAAAAUAGUGAAAUCUCCGACGAGCUGUGUAGUCAAGCGGCCGUUGAGCGUAUGGUUAGUUGUUGUUAUGAUUAAUAUUUUCUUGUCAUAUAGCUAUAAAUUACAUGUGUGCUGAACCUUCAUAUUGUAUUGCAGGAGACAUACGGGCAGGAGAUGGUUAAGAAGUAUGGAGAAGACUACGAUUGGCGAGGAGCGCCUACCAUCGAUGCUGAAGUUGUGCAUUCACUUGGAGGCAAGACGCAUGGACGGUAUGAACUUGUAAAUUGUUUUCAAUAAUAUUGGAACUACGACCGAAUAGCUAAUUUUCUUGUUUUUCAAGAUAUUCUAUGUUUACCGGUGUUAUCGAUUCGACAGAGUUGCGUUCUCGUGGCGGCUCUUCGUCGCAGGCGGGCUGUGGUAGUAGCAGCCGUAGUCGCCGCUCUGUAUCUAGCAUGGAGGAAGCUAUGAGGGAGCAGCAAGAAAAGUUUCGUGAAGAGCUACGGCAACAACAAAUGGCAUUUCUCCAACAGCAAUCAGCGUACAUGGCUGCUUACAAUGCGCAGGCGCAACAAGCAAUGAACGUGAGUGUCUUAUUUAUUCUCAACACGCUCGAUAUUGGUUCUAUAACUAAUAUAUUAUAUUUGCAACAGUCUUGGUUUCCACAACAGGCACAACAACAACCAUUUGUUUUCCCUCAAUUUCAGCCGCCGAUGCCUCAGUGGGGAUUACAUGCUCCGCCACCUCCACCUCCACAUCAGGUUAUUCAAUUUAGUUAAGACUUGUCGUUUGUAUCAACCUAAUUUCAAAUCUUUACUAAACUUGAUUUUGUAGGGAUCUGGGGUCAUGGGCCACAACACGCCACCACCGGUCAUACGUGGAGGUUAUCUUUGUGUCAUAAGUUGUCGACGUUUAGGGUUUAGAGCCAUCGUGAUCGUAUCCUCCGGCCUGAACAACGUUGUUUUAUGUUCAGAGCGGAGGACCCGGCUUUUACGUUUACCUCGCUCACGUUUUCUGUCGACGAUGUUCUUUAGUAGUGCCCCGCGCAUCGGUGUGGAUGGACGCGCAGUGGGAUAUAUAUGUGUUUCCAGGUAGUUGGAGAUUCGAAACGAACCAGUGAUGUAGAUUUGUUUCAUCUAAAUAUAUGCUAUAGUUCAAAACUGC